ACGGUGGCGACAGCCUCAGGACAGUUGCGAGCGGGUUCCGGCCCAGCAUCCGGGAGACGGCGGCGAGCGCCCCAGCUGAGUUGACAACCUCAAGCCUUUGAAUUCGAGUGCAGUUUGCAUACCAUACCUGACUCAUCCGGCAGGCCUCGUACACGUUCUGGUCUAGGCAGGAUGGUGCAGCCGUGAUCUGUCAAGCAUAAGGUUGGUAAAUGACACUCCACACGUGGGAGAAAUUUGGCUGAGGGCUGCUUUCACAUGCUGACUUUGCUGGAAGGAUGCUCAUUUCUCCUCCAUGCAUCCCCCAAGGAGGAUGUGGCUCCUUUCCCAGGGUGCGUGCUUCUGUCUUGAGUCCUGACUUCCAUAUUUCCCCAUCCUGUUAUUGGUUGCUUCACCUCCUCCAUAGUGGACGCUUUUUCUGCUUC
This 422-nucleotide long non-coding RNA is filed under the name Rattus norvegicus (Norway rat). RNAcentral's name for it is "long non-coding RNA NONRATT005484". Lineage: Eukaryota; Metazoa; Chordata; Mammalia; Rodentia; Muridae. The record is from RNAcentral.